AGUGAACGCUGGCGGUAGGCCUAACACAUGCAAGUCGAACGGCAGCACAGUAAGAGCUUGCUCUUACGGGUGGCGAGUGGCGGACGGGUGAGGAAUACAUCGGAAUCUACUUUUUCGUGGGGGAUAACGUAGGUAAACUUACGCUAAUACCGCAUACGACCUACGGGUGAAAGCAGUGGAUCUUCUGACCUUGCGCGAUUGAAUGAGCCGAUGUCGGAUUAGCUAGUUGGCGGGGUAAAGGCCCACCAAGGCGACGAUCCGUAGCUGGUCUGAGAGGAUGAUCAGCCACACUGGAACUGAGACACGGUCCAGACUCCUACGGGAGGCAGCAGUGGGGAAUAUUGGACAAUGGGCGCAAGCCUGAUCCAGCCAUACCGAGUGGGUGAAGAAGGCCUUCGGGUUGUAAAGCCCUUUUGUUGGGAAAGAAAAGCAGCAGGUUAAUACCCCGCUGUUCUGACGGUACCCAAAGAAUAAGCACCGGCUAACUUCGUG
Molecule: ribosomal RNA, 492 nt
Filed under: uncultured bacterium
Lineage: Bacteria
Description: partial 16S ribosomal RNA
Rfam family: Bacterial small subunit ribosomal RNA
Source: RNAcentral